Molecule: small nuclear RNA, 103 nt
Organism: Eubalaena glacialis (North Atlantic right whale)
Lineage: Eukaryota; Metazoa; Chordata; Mammalia; Artiodactyla; Balaenidae
Source: RefSeq, a predicted model, not a curated record
GCUCACUUUGGCAGCACAAACUACAAUUGGAAUGAUACAGAGAAGAUUGGCGUGGCCUCUGUGUAAGGAUGACACGCAAAUUUGUGAAGCAUUCCAUAUUUUC